AUGACGUAAUGAACAAAGUGCCACUUCCGGUUUGCUUCUGAUGGCGGACUAGCCAAAAACAAGAGGAAACGGUUUGAAAAUGUUUAAUUUCUUGGGAAAAUACAUGAAGAGGAAGACACAGAAACACCUGGUUUAAAACCGGGGCCAGGAUUUCCCUCCCGCAGCCUCUGAUGUCUUUCAUACUCCAGGCCGGCCGCUGCUCUGCACUACUCUCAUAUGGCGGUAACCGCUGAUAAUUGCGUCCCGACCGACGGCGGCGUCGCUGAAGUGUAGCACCCACCCUCCAGUUCCUUCAGGUGAAGGAUGCCCCACCACGAGAGGCUGAAGGUAAAACUCCAUCAUCAUGGCUCAUGGGGAAGGACUUCUGAAGGAAAGGGUGGAAAACUACCAGGUGGCAAGGACCGUUCCAGGUGCUCCUGACGACAGCAACUGGCGGGAAAACUGCACAAAGAGCAACGUGGAUACGCGCGAGCCACUGUAAGAAACCUCCAGACCCACAGGAGGAGUCACCACAAGACAGCAGCGGUAAGUGAAACAGCUGCAUGUAAGACACUGCCACACCUGGCUAGAGGAAGUUAUCAUUGCUGCACAACUAUCCAGAGCAUCGGGCCGUGAUCCUCCAGUGGAUACAACACAAAGAGACAUUAACAGCCCUACUUGUAGAAGGAAGGGAGUAUAAGGGUAUAUAAUGGUUAGUAACCAGCUCAGGUGGAAGUAAAACAACACAAACUAAUCUAAGCUAGAUGGAAAAAGCAUCCCUGGCUGACGAGGUGAAGAAGAAUUCUUUCUUCUACUGUAUCAGAUCAAAUACAACUCUUAUUAAGACAAUAUUUAGAGACUGCCUGAAACUAUUUGAAUAGAAAUGAUGGAUUAGUCAAUGUCAUGGUGACCCCAAUAUUCUAUAUAAAUAUCUGUUAAUAGGAGUAGUUGCACACUCGGCUUGAGACAUUGUUGAAGGUUGACUGUGACCAUUUGCAAACAAGAUAAUGAAACUGAAAAGACAUAUU
Molecule: long non-coding RNA, 1007 nt
Organism: Sebastes umbrosus (honeycomb rockfish)
Lineage: Eukaryota; Metazoa; Chordata; Actinopteri; Perciformes; Sebastidae
Exons: 4
Source: RefSeq, a predicted model, not a curated record